This 253-nucleotide ribosomal RNA is filed under the name uncultured bacterium. RNAcentral describes it as "partial 16S ribosomal RNA". It matches the Rfam family "Bacterial small subunit ribosomal RNA", at positions 524 to 776 of the family's 1533-position model. The record is from RNAcentral.
UACAGAGGUCUCAAGCGUUGUUCGGAUUCAUUGGGCGUAAAGGGUGCGUAGGCGGCGCGGUAAGUCGGAUGUGAAAUCUCGGAGCUUAACUUCGAAACUGCAUUCGAUACUGCCGUGCUUGAGGACUGGAGAGGAGACUGGAAUUUACGGUGUAGCGGUGAAAUGCGUAGAUAUCGUAAGGAAGACCAGUGGCGAAGGCGGGUCUCUGGACCAACACUGACACUGAUGAGCGAAAGCCAGGGGAGCAAACGGG